RNAcentral lists this ribosomal RNA (253 nucleotides) under uncultured bacterium. RNAcentral's name for it is "partial 16S ribosomal RNA". It matches the Rfam family "Bacterial small subunit ribosomal RNA", at positions 524 to 776 of the family's 1533-position model. The record is from RNAcentral.
UACGAAGGGUGCAAACGUUGCUCGGAAUCAUUGGGCGUAAAGCGCACGUAGGCGGUCUGUUGCGUCCGCUGUGAAAACUCGGGGCUUAACCCCGAGCCUGCAGUGGAUACGGGCAGACUAGAGGUAGGUAGGGGAGAAUGGAAUUCCCGGUGUAGCGGUGAAAUGCGCAGAUAUCGGGAGGAACACCGGUGGCGGAGGCGGGUCUCUGGGCCGAUACUGACGCUGAGGAGCGAAAGCGUGGGGAGCGAACAGG